CGGGGCGUAGCGCAGCCUGGUAGCGAAUCUGGUUUGGGACCAGAGGGUCGCAGGGUCAAAUCCUGCCGCCCCGACCA
This 77-nucleotide transfer RNA is filed under the name Gammaproteobacteria bacterium. RNAcentral's name for it is "tRNA-Pro". It matches the Rfam family "tRNA". From Rfam's summary of the family: Transfer RNA (tRNA) molecules are approximately 80 nucleotides in length. Lineage: Bacteria; Pseudomonadati; Pseudomonadota; Gammaproteobacteria. The record is from RNAcentral.